UACCUGCAGCUCGAGUGGUAACCGCUAUUAUUGGGCCUAAAGCGUCCGUAGCCGGUUUGGUAAAUGCCUGGGUAAAUUGUGUAGCUUAACUAUACAAAUUCCGGGUAGACUGCCAAACUUGAGACCGGGAGAAGCUAGAGGUACUCCUGGGGUAGAGGUGAAAUUCUGUAAUCCUGGGGGGACCACCAGUGGCGAAGGCGUCUAGCUAGAACGGGUUUGACGGUGAGGAACGAAGCCCUGGGCGCAAACCGGAUUGGAUACCCGGGUAGUCCAGGGUGUAAACGCUGCUUGCUUGAUGUUAGUUGGGCUCCGAGCCCAAUUAGUGUCGGAGAGAAGUUGUUAAGCAAGCUGCCUGGGAAGUACGAUCGCAAGAUUGAAACUUAAAGGAAUUGGCGGGGGAGCACAGCAACGGGUGGAGCGUGCGGUUU
RNAcentral lists this ribosomal RNA (428 nucleotides) under uncultured archaeon. RNAcentral describes it as "bacterial SSU rRNA". It matches the Rfam family "Archaeal small subunit ribosomal RNA", at positions 474 to 903 of the family's 1478-position model. The record is from RNAcentral.